Molecule: small RNA, 290 nt
Filed under: uncultured Butyricicoccus sp.
Lineage: Bacteria; Bacillati; Bacillota; Clostridia; Eubacteriales; Butyricicoccaceae
Description: 5' ureB small RNA
Rfam family: 5' ureB small RNA
Source: RNAcentral
CGAUCUGCUGCGGGCUGAUGAAGUGAAUGUGCGUGUCAAUGCCGCCCGCGGUGACGAUCAUGCCCUCGCCCGCCAGCGCCUCGGUAGACGCGCCGACCGUCAUGCCCGGCGUGACGCCGUCCAUGGUAUCCGGAUUGCCCGCCUUGCCGAUGCCGGCGAUUUUGCCGUCCUUGAUGCCGAUGUCCGCCUUGACAAUGCCGGUGGCGUCGACGAUCAGCGCGUUGGUGAUGACGAGAUCGAGGUCGCCGUCCGCGCUGCGCGAGCGAACCGACUGACCCAUGCCGUCGCGC